Molecule: ribosomal RNA, 253 nt
Filed under: uncultured bacterium
Lineage: Bacteria
Description: partial 16S ribosomal RNA
Rfam family: Bacterial small subunit ribosomal RNA
Source: RNAcentral
UACGUAGGGUGCAAGCGUUGUCCGGAAUCAUUGGGCGUAAAGCGCGCGUAGGUGGCUUCGUAAGUCCGUUGUGAAAGUCAAAGGCUCAACCUUUGAAAGCCGAUGGAUACUGCGGAGCUAGAGUACGGAAGAGGCGAGUGGAAUUCCUGGUGUAGCGGUGGAAUGCGCAGAUAUCAGGAGGGACACCAAUAGCGAAGGCAGCUCGCUGGGACGUUACUGACACUAAGGCGCGAAAGCGUGGGGAGCGAACAGG